CGCUUCAUGGGAGGCAACCCACGUGUGCGAUUGUCAACUUAUUUUGUUUUUUCUUUUCUUUUCUGUAUGGGUAUGAAACGUUGUUGCAGGUAAGGAGUGGAACUUGGAGAGGAUAGUCGUAAUCACUUCUCAGCGAAAGGAGGCCAGACCAAAGAAGCAUUGCCGAAUUCAGAAAUUGAGGAAAACAGGGCAUCCACACGGCUACCCGUGUGGUGACACACGGCCGUGUUAAUUAAAACAGAGGAUUAACACGGGCGCCCGUGUGGUGACACACGACCGUGUUAAUUAAAACAGAGGAUUAAC
Molecule: long non-coding RNA, 303 nt
Filed under: Lathyrus oleraceus (garden pea)
Lineage: Eukaryota; Viridiplantae; Streptophyta; Magnoliopsida; Fabales; Fabaceae
Description: Pisum sativum (pea) long non-coding RNA (PSAT_LNC008261)
Source: RNAcentral